UUUGGUGACUGUGCUUGACUCCCCGUUAGCCAGUUACCUUGGUUAAAAAACUUGCCGGUUUUUUAACCUUCGAAAAAACCACCUUGCCGGGUGGUUUUUUUGU
This 103-nucleotide non-coding RNA is filed under the name zebrafish metagenome. The record is from RNAcentral.